Molecule: ribosomal RNA, 468 nt
Filed under: uncultured bacterium
Lineage: Bacteria
Description: partial 16S ribosomal RNA
Rfam family: Bacterial small subunit ribosomal RNA
Source: RNAcentral
GACGAACGCUGGCGGCGUGCUUAACACAUGCAAGUCGAACGGAAAGGCCCUGCUUUUGUGGGGUGCUCGAGUGGCGAACGGGUGAGUAACACGUGAGUAACCUGCCCUUGGCUUUGGGAUAACUUCAGGAAACUGGGGCUAAUACCGGAUAGGAGCUCCUGCUGCAUGGUGGGGGUUGGAAAGUUUCGGCGGUUGGGGAUGGACUCGCGGCUUAUCAGCUUGUUGGUGGGGUAGUGGCUUACCAAGGCUUUGACGGGUAGCCGGCCUGAGAGGGUGACCGGCCACAUUGGGACUGAGAUACGGCCCAGACUCCUACGGGAGGCAGCAGUGGGGAAUAUUGCACAAUGGGCGGAAGCCUGAUGCAGCAACGCCGCGUGCGGGAUGACGGCCUUCGGGUUGUAAACCGCUUUCGCCUGUGACGAAGCGUGAGUGACGGUAAUAGGUAAAGAAGCACCGGCUAACUACGUG